AGAGUUUGAUCCUGGCUCAGGAUGAACGCUAGCGACAGGCUUAACACAUGCAAGUCGAGGGGCAGCGUGGGAGGUGGCAACACCACCCGACGGCGACCGUGCGGGGAAAGACGAGUCGGUAGGGGAUGGGCAUGCGGCGCAUUAGCUGGUUGGCGGGGCAACGGCCCACCAAGGCUACGAUGCGUAGGGGUUCUGAGAGGAAGGUCCCCCACACUGGUACUGAGACACGGACCAGACUCCUACGGGAGGCAGCAGUGAGGAAUAUUGGUCAAUGGGCGGGAGCCUGAACCAGCCAAGUCGCGUGCGGGAAGACGGCCCUACGGGUUGUAAACCGCUUUAGCCGGGGAGUAACGUGCGGCACGUGUGCCGCAGUGAGAGUACCCGGAGAAUAAGCAUCGGCUAACUCCGUGCCAGCAGCCGCGGUAAUACGGAGGAUGCGAGCGUUAUCCGGAUUCAUUGGGUUUAAAGGGUGCGCAGGCGGCGCUCCAAGUCAGCGGUCAAAUCCAUGGGCUCAACCCGUGGCCGCCGUUGAUACUGGGGUGCUUGAGUAGGUGCGACGGAGGCGGAAUGCGUGGUGUAGCGGUGAAAUGCAUAGAUAUCACGCAGAACCCCGAUUGCGAAGGCAGCCUCCGAGCCCCCGACUGACGCUGAGGCACGAAAGCGUGGGUAUCGAACAGGAUUAGAUACCCUGGUAGUCCACGCGGUAAACGAUGAAUACUGGUUAUCCGGCCCGACUGGGGGUUGGGUGACUCAACAACGGUGAAACUCAAAGGAAUUGACGGGGGCCCGCACAAGCGGAGGAACAUGUGGUUUAAUUCGAUGAUACGCGAGGAACCUUACCCGGGCUCAAACGCACAGAGACAGUCCUUGAAAGAGGAUCUCCCCUCGGGGCCCUGUGCGAGGUGCUGCAUGGUUGUCGUCAGCUCGUGCCGUGAGGUGUCGGCUUAAGUGCCAUAACGAGCGCAACCCCCAUCUCCAGUUGCCAUCGCGUAGUGGCGGGCACUCUGGAGAGACUGCCGGCGCAAGCUGUGAGGAAGGCGGGGAUGACGUCAAAUCAGCACGGCCCUUACGUCCGGGGCGACACACGUGUUACAAUGGCGGGGCACAGCGGGAAGCCAGGCGGCGACGAUUCGCUAGUAAUCGCGCAUCAGCCAUGGCGCGGUGAAUACGUUCCCGGGCCUUGUACACACCGCCCGUCAAGCCAUGGAAGCCUGGAGUGCCUGAAGUGCGUGACCGCGAGGAGCGCCCAAGGGUAAGACAGGUGACUGGGGCUAAGUCGUAACAAGGUAGCCGUACCGGAAGGUGCGGCUG
Molecule: ribosomal RNA, 1311 nt
Filed under: uncultured Bacteroidales bacterium
Lineage: Bacteria; Pseudomonadati; Bacteroidota; Bacteroidia; Bacteroidales
Also listed under: 1 other name
Description: bacterial SSU rRNA
Rfam family: Bacterial small subunit ribosomal RNA
Source: RNAcentral